Molecule: ribosomal RNA, 611 nt
Filed under: Stigeoclonium sp. 2 AS-2014
Lineage: Eukaryota; Viridiplantae; Chlorophyta; Chlorophyceae; Chaetophorales; Chaetophoraceae
Description: partial 23S ribosomal RNA
Rfam family: Bacterial large subunit ribosomal RNA
Source: RNAcentral
GCUUGACUGUAGUUUGGAAUAGGGUUCGGGCUUUUCUUGCGCAGCCUAGGUGGGAGGCAUUGAGGAUUUCUUUUCGGGGAAAUCGGAGCCAUCAUUGAGAGACCACUCUGGAAGAGCUAGAAUCCUAAUGGCGUUCCUUGAAUCAGGACGCUUGACAGUUUCAGAUGGGCAGUUUUCUUGGGGCGAGAUUCUUAGUUAUGGGAUGCUUGUAAUUUUUAGAAUUAAAAAAGAAAAAAUUUAAUGAUUGCUAUAAAUUCAAGUAGAAUUUGACUAUAUGCUGGGAUGUUUCUAUGUUUAUUAUUGUGGAGGAUAAAGCUCGCCUUUUUCCGUUACCGACCAUGAUUUUUAAAUAUAAAGAGAUUAUUUUAAAUCUCUGAAACUAAUCAGCAGGGAAACAACAAGAUUUGUUGUGACCUUCAAAGACUUUACGUCAAACUUUUAAGUUAGUUUUAACUUUAAAAGAUGAUAAAGUCUAACCUAUUAAUGAAAUAUUAAUAGGUUGCCUAAAAGGUAACGGAGAAGCGCAAUGGUCCCCUCAACCUGGACGGAAAUCAGGCUUUGAGUGCAAAGGCAUAAGGGGGCUUGACUGCAAGACCUACRAGUCGAGCAGG